This 752-nucleotide long non-coding RNA is filed under the name Triticum aestivum (bread wheat). RNAcentral describes it as "long non-coding RNA (TAES_LNC027566)". The record is from RNAcentral. Lineage: Eukaryota; Viridiplantae; Streptophyta; Magnoliopsida; Poales; Poaceae.
AAUGUCGGGCCGAUGCAGAUUCCGGAUGCUACUUUUGGGCCGAACAAAUUAAGAACUCCACAACAAAUCAUAUAAAGAAUAAUCAAUAAAUAGUAUUAUUUAAAACAUACUUUCUCUCUUAUACAGGCAAAAGAGAGAGAUACCCAGUACGCAACACCAUCACUGCAUAGAUCACUACUACUGGUAGUCUAACCAACCAACUAAACUGAACGAAACAAACAGACGCGACUCGCCGCAAUUCAGAUUGCAGGAUUCCAUCUCUCAAGAAGCUAGGCACCCAACGCAACGACGCCUCAGUGAGCGAGGAAGGCGAGGAGCGAGACGACGGCGGCCACGGCCCACGCCCCGGGAGCGACGGCGCCUGCUGCGCCAACCACCGCCGCCGGCGCCGGUGCCGGGGCGAGCGAGGGAGCGAGGCUGCCCAGGAAGAACUCCUCCUCCCGCUCCACAAUCCUCCCUGCCGCCGACGCAACGAGCGCCACGAGCACAACCGCGGCGAGGAGAGCAAUGGACUUGGUGGAGACGGCGGCCAUUGAGACGAGACGGUGGGAGGAUCUGGUCGCAGAGAAAGAGAAGCAAGCAAGCAAAAGAAGCAGACGGAUGCUGUGCUUGGAUUCUCAAACUCUGCGCUCCUGAACUUGGAUGGAUCGUGGGAGAUGUUUGUGUGGGGAGAAGCGGAGGUGGUUCGGGGGAUUUUAUAGCGGGCGGGGGACGAGGGGAAAUGUAGCCGUUGGGGGUCGUAGCAGGCGCCG